Molecule: ribosomal RNA, 370 nt
Filed under: Hyalomma asiaticum asiaticum
Lineage: Eukaryota; Metazoa; Arthropoda; Arachnida; Ixodida; Ixodidae
Description: partial large subunit ribosomal RNA
Rfam family: Archaeal large subunit ribosomal RNA (bases 220-370)
Source: RNAcentral
UUAAAAAAAUUCUUUUUUAAAAUUAAAAAUUGAAUUUUUUUUAAUUUGUGAAUAAACAAUUAUAAAAAUUAAAGACAAGAAGACCCUAAGAAUUUGAAGAUCAAAUAAAUAAAAAAUUUUUUAUUUAUUUGAUCUUGAUUGGGGCGAUCAAAAAAUAUUAAUAACUUUUUAAAUUAAAAUGAUCUAUUAAUAAUAAACUAAUGAAAUAAAUACUCUAGGGAUAACAGCGUAAUAAUUUUUGAUAGAUCUUAUAGACAAAAUAGUUUGCGACCUCGAUGUUGGAUUAGGAUUCUUAUUUAAUGAAGAUGUUAAAUAAAGAAGUUUGUUCAACUUUUAAAUUCCUACUUGAUCUGGUUCCCAGAGACCGGGA